This 662-nucleotide ribosomal RNA is filed under the name uncultured bacterium. RNAcentral's name for it is "bacterial SSU rRNA". It matches the Rfam family "Bacterial small subunit ribosomal RNA", at positions 9 to 669 of the family's 1533-position model. The record is from RNAcentral.
GAGUUUGAUCCUGGCUCAGGAUGAACGCUGGCGGCGUGCUUAACACAUGCAAGUCGAACGAAGCACGGGUGUGGAAUUUCUUCGGAAAGGAAGCGCCUGUGACUGAGUGGCGGACGGGUGAGUAACGCGUGGGCAACCUGCCCCAUACCGGGGGACAACAGCCGGAAACGGCUGCUAAUACCGCAUACGUUUCCGGUGCCGCAUGGCGCCGGAAAGAAAACUCCGGUGGUAUGGGAUGGGCCCGCGUCUGAUUAGCUUGUUGGGAGGGUAACGGCCUACCAAGGCGACGAUCAGUAGCCGGCCUGAGAGGGCGGCCGGCCACAUUGGGACUGAGACACGGCCCAGACUCCUGCGGGAGGCAGCAGUGGGGAAUAUUGCACAAUGGGGGAAACCCUGAUGCAGCGACGCCGCGUGAGCGAAGAAGUAUCUCGGUAUGUAAAGCUCUAUCAGCAGGGAAGAAAGUGACAGUACCUGACUAAGAAGCCCCGGCUAACUACGUGCCAGCAGCCGCGGUAAUACGUAGGGGGCAAGCGUUAUCCGGAUUUACUGGGUGUAAAGGGAGUGUAGGCGGUACGGCAAGUCUGAUGUGAAAACCCUAAGCUCAACUAAGGGAGUGCAUUGGAAACUGUCGGACUAGAGUGUGGGAGAGGCAGGUGGAAUUC